Gossypium arboreum is the source of this 2207-nucleotide RNA transcript. RefSeq lists it as uncharacterized. The transcript is spliced from 8 exons. Lineage: Eukaryota; Viridiplantae; Streptophyta; Magnoliopsida; Malvales; Malvaceae. The record is from RefSeq and is a predicted model, not a curated record.
CUGCCUCUCUAUUGCUGUAAAAUUAGCUUUUGUAGCAGCAAUAGUAGUAAAGAUUUGAAAAAAAUUAUACUAAAAAAUUAAUAUAUUUAGAAACAAGGGCUGGAAACCCAGGUGCUUAAAAAUUCAAAUGGAGUCGCUAAAGGGUAUGCCUAAUUAUAUAUUUAGAAAACACCUUGCUUUUCUCAAAACUUUAGAUUCUGUUUCUGGUUACCUUAAAGCCUUUGAGAUCUUACACUUCACAAUUAAGCUUUUAGCGGUGUUUAGAUCGAAAAGUGCAAAAAUUAUACAUUAGUGACACUAGCUGGAAAACGUCACAAAAGGUAAGGCAUUAGCAACGUUUUUUAAAUAAAUGCCGCAAAAGGGUAGAAUUAUAGUAACAUUUUUCUUAUAAACAUCAUAAAAGGUCAGCAAUAGCGACGUCUUUUCAUAAACGCCGUAAAUAUGUAUUAAAUUUUUUCAAAAUAGGGUCGUUUUAUUAACCCCAAAACCCCAAAUUCUUUUCCCCAAAUCAAUUCCCCCUCUUCUCAAAAUCAAAGUUUUUUUUUCCCAAACCCCUUUCUUUUUUCCCCAAUUUCUUUCCCCAAAUCAAUUCUCCCUCUCCCCAAAAUCCCUAAGUUUCUUUCCCAGACCCCUUUCUGUUUUUCCCAAUUUUUUUCCCAAAUCAAUUCCCCUACCCCAAAAUCCCUAAUUUUUUUAGAAAUCCCGUUUUUUUUUUCCUGAAUUUCUUUUCCCCAAAUCAGUUCUCCCCUCCCCGAUAUAUGCGCAAAAUUGAUAUUUUGUUGAAGAAGAUAAAGGUUGGUGAUUGCUUUUGGUACAGAGAUAUAUAUCAUCUCAUUUGUUCCUUGUUCUCGAUUUGAGAUCGGCACGGUUUUCAAAGUUUUCGUCGCUUUCUCCAACCUGCAAUGCUUCCAUUCCUAGCUGGUGUACUAUCUAUUGAAAGAACUUGUAAGGAAGUCGAUUGCUGAAAUUCAGAUAAUAUGCCUAGAAGAAGAUUGCGAGAUCUAAGUAUUAUUCAGAAUCCUCUAAAUUCAGAAGAAACAAAUAGUGAACAACAGACUACUAUUGAACCUUUUAAUGUUUUGAAUACAGCUGACGAAACUGCAGAAAUUCAAACUGAAAGUGGUGGGAGGCACAAAACUCGAGGAGGUACGCUAUUAAAAGAUUUAUACGAUCUAAAUUCUGUCGAGUGUGUCAAAGUAUCUAGAAAUAGUCAUGAUCAGCCUAUUAGAUCAGAAUCUCGACUUUUAGUAGGAUACUUGGGUAUUAUAGCACGAAAUGUCAAUUUAUUGCCAAUAAACUACUAGUCAUGGCAUCAUAUGCCUGAUAGUAACAAAAAUCAAGCUCUCGAUAAUAUUAAGGAGAGAUUUUUUUUAGAGGUCUUGGAUAAUUAUGUGAAGAAAACAUUAGGAAAGAAAUGGAGAGACAAUACAAGUACUUUAAAGAAGGAAUAUUUUAGGAAAAAUAUUUCCCUCGAAGAGAAAUUGCGAAAUGUGCCGCCAAGAAUGCUGAGGUACCAAUGGGAAGAUGCAGUUAUAUUUUGGAAUUCAAAAAAAACGAGAGGAACUGUCAUCUGGUCAAAAAGUUGGACGCCUUCAGCUUUUUGACAUUACACAUAGAAAGAAAGAUGGAUCUCCUAUAACUAUUGAAGCUGUAGAAAUUAUGGAGAAAUUAAAGGAUAAAAGGGCGAAGUAUGAAGCAAUCACUUCAAGUGAUAGUUUUGUUAAUCUGGAUGACAUUGAUAACAGAAUUAUUACUGAAGUUUUGGGUCUUGAAAGGUAUGGUAGGGUUCGAUUUCAAAGAUCUUUUGUUAACCCAACCCAAUUUUUUGGACCCAGCUCGCAGUAAUAUAUGCCUUCGGCAAAUCAGGCUCAAGCUAAAGUUCAGAAGUUAAGAGACCAGAUGGCUCAGAUGCAAGCGAGCACAGUUGAACAAAUCGCUCAACUUAAAGCAGAGGCUCAAAGAAAAUAUGAAGAACUCCAGCUACAAUUUAAAACGGAGGUAGCAGCGAGAGAAGUAGAAGUAACAAGAAAAUAUGAUGAACUCCAGCUACAGCUUCAGAAUAUCAUGAAAAUGUUUCAGCAGUCACAGAAUCGAUCAUCUUAGACUUUUGUUUUCUUAUUGUGAGAAUAUCUUAAUAAUAUAACUUUUGAAUAUAAUAUAUUUUGUUAUUUCAUUUAUUAAUUUAGAUCAUAUACAUAUUUCUUUCA